GGCAAUUAUACCAAACGCUUUUCUUUUACUUUUAUUUCUUUUUCUUUUCUCUGUUCACUCUCAGAAAACAGAUACUGACUUGCGCAUGCUAUUUUUGAGUAAACCAGAAGAAAAAAAAAACCCAGAAUGAGCAAACUGACAAAGCUGAAUGAUCUCAAAUGGAAAAUUAUAGAAUGUUGGGUCAAGCGUCGAAAACAGAGUAGCAGAAACAGGGGAUCUACAAGACUUGGAGUUCCCAUAUUUUGGAAACACCCAUUUUUUGCACCAGAAUUUGGAGAAUAGCAAGCAAAAUAAAACAUCUUAUUUAGAGCAUCUCCAACCGAUGUGUUAAAAGUAUCAUAUAAAUAUUUAACGGUUAAAAAUAA
Prunus dulcis (almond) is the source of this 365-nucleotide long non-coding RNA. RefSeq lists it as uncharacterized. NCBI's taxonomy places the organism in Eukaryota, Viridiplantae, Streptophyta, Magnoliopsida, Rosales, Rosaceae. The transcript has 3 exons. The record is from RefSeq and is a predicted model, not a curated record.